GAUCCUGGCUCAGGAUGAACGCUAGCGGCAGGCUUAACACAUGCAAGUCGGAGGGGCAGCAUAAUGGAUAGCAAUAUCUAUGGUGGCGACCGGCGCACGGGUGCGUAACGCGUAUGCAACCUACCUUAACAGUGGGAUAACACUGAGAAAUUGGUACUAAUACCCCAUAAUAUCAUAGAAGGCAUCUUUAUGGUUGAAAAUUCCGAUGGUUAGAGAGUGGGCAUGCGUUGUUA
This 233-nucleotide ribosomal RNA is filed under the name uncultured bacterium. RNAcentral describes it as "partial 16S ribosomal RNA". It matches the Rfam family "Bacterial small subunit ribosomal RNA", at positions 15 to 241 of the family's 1533-position model. The record is from RNAcentral.